CCUACGGUGUGCAGCAGUAGGGAAUAUUGCUCAAUGGGGGAAACCCUGAAGCAGCAACGCCGCGUGGAGGAUGAAGGUUUUAGGAUUGUAAACUCCUUUUGUUAGAGAAGAUUAUGACGGUAUCUAACGAAUAAGCACCGGCUAACUCCGUGCCAGCCGCCGCGGUAAUACGGAGGGUGCAAGCGUUACUCGGAAUUACUGGGCGUAAAGAGUGCGUAGGCGGGGUAAUAAGUCAGAUGUGAAAUUCUGUAGCUUAAAUUAAGAACUGCAUUUGAAACUGUUGCUCUAGAGUGUGGGAGAGGUAGGUGGAAUUCGUGGUGUAGGGGUAAAAUCCGUAGAGAUCAAGAGGAAUACUCAUUGCGAAGGCGGCCUGCUGGAACAUUACUGACGCUGAUGCACGAAAGCGUGGGGAGCAAACAGGAUUAGAUACCCGAGUAGUC
This 440-nucleotide ribosomal RNA is filed under the name uncultured bacterium. Its description in RNAcentral is "partial 16S ribosomal RNA". It matches the Rfam family "Bacterial small subunit ribosomal RNA", at positions 338 to 795 of the family's 1533-position model. The record is from RNAcentral.